CCGGCACAUCAGGAAUCAACCAGGCCACGAGGAAUUUAACUAUGAACACAACAUGCUGUGGAGGAAGAAAACUGAAGUCAGUGCGCGUGUGGGAGAAAAUAACAAUCAACUGCUACACAAGGUAGUGAUGGAGCUGUUGAACCAGGCCGGAUUCUCGUCAUCAUCGGGCCUGCUGAACUCUGGGAACUCAGAGAUGUUGAACACCGACAGGCUGUUGUUUAUGUAGCCUUUCAUGGUCAUCUCACCCUUUGGCGCGUAGGCGUACAUGUACACUAGCCGAGGGAUCAUAUCAGAGGUGAAGGCCACGAUGAACGCCUAGAAGCAGGGAAAGAAAUGAACAUUCGGUCCACCACUCACAUUUGUCACAACAGAGAGUACAGCCAUGCCGUUGAGGAUUUCCGCCCAGGCUCCGAUGCUGUGAGCUUUGGCUGCCACAGGGCGUCUGAACUGAGUGGUGAGUUUCCAAGCGUCCACUCUAACCUCAAUGAUGUUGUUGAUGAGUGCCAGCAGGGGUGCCAAGGGGAAGGAGGCGACGAACAGUGUGAUGAAACCAAACUGGAUCACUGGGACACAGAGAGAGGAGAUGUUCGUGAGAGACGGUAUGUGGAAACAGCGCCAUCUGAAGGAUGACGGGGAUCUACCUAUUUAUGCAUCUACAAGUAUGCAUGCAUGUACUCAUAGAAGAGGCCCAGCUGUCCAAAGCCCUGCAGGUCGUGAUCCUGCUCCCAGCGGCUGUACAGACUCUCUGGGUGGUUUCGUGCCUUCCUGCUGCCCCACCAGUUCAUCAGCCACCUGAAGGACACAAGGGGGCGAUAGAGAGCUUUCAUGCAAUUUAAGCUUAAGGUAUGCUGAAGGCUGUAUUGAACUGUAAACAAUGAAAACACUGCAUCUUCUGUAGUUAUCUAAUAUAUUCUGUAGAUCAUUUCUCAUUACACACACUUGUGCAAAGCUCAGGUGUUACUCGGCAGAUUACCGACGCCUUUGUUUAAGUCAGGAGUCCCAGUGAGUCAUCACAGUGUGACAGUGAGUCAGUAUGCACCAUUUAUUUUUUUUUGUAGGCACACAUAAAAUAAAUUGCUCCCUUGAUGAACUUGAUAGUAAAGAAUGCUAUUUUUGAUUAACAGGACCAUUCGUUUUUGGGGUUUAAUCCAGGAAACAUUUAGUUUCUUAAAUGUACCUUCAUUUUCAGAUAGAAACAUGCUAUCCAUGCUACUGCAAGGCACAUGGAUGUCUGUUUUUACACUGAUGACCUCCUACAUGAUGAAAAUGUAGAAACAUAUUUGUCUUUUUUGAUGCCAACAAAAAAUGAAACUAAAAGUAUGAUCCGUGGAUCAAAAACAAA
Molecule: long non-coding RNA, 1342 nt
Organism: Acanthochromis polyacanthus (spiny chromis)
Lineage: Eukaryota; Metazoa; Chordata; Actinopteri; Pomacentridae
Exons: 4
Source: RefSeq, a predicted model, not a curated record